This 238-nucleotide ribosomal RNA is filed under the name uncultured Lactobacillus sp. RNAcentral describes it as "partial 16S ribosomal RNA". It matches the Rfam family "Bacterial small subunit ribosomal RNA", at positions 125 to 355 of the family's 1533-position model. The record is from RNAcentral. Lineage: Bacteria; Bacillati; Bacillota; Bacilli; Lactobacillales; Lactobacillaceae.
CCGUGCCCCUAAGUCUGGGAUACCAUUUGGAAACAGAUGCUAAUACCGGAUAACAACAGAUGAUGCCUAUCAACUGUUUAAAAGAUGGUUCUGCUAUCACUCUUGGAUGGACCUGCGGUGCAUUAGCUAGUUGGUAGGGUAACGGCCUACCAAGGCGAUGAUGCAUAGCCGAGUUGAGAGACUGAUCGGCCACAUUGGGACUGAGACACGGCCCAGACUCCUACGGGAGGCAGCAGCU